Molecule: ribosomal RNA, 269 nt
Filed under: uncultured prokaryote
Description: partial 16S ribosomal RNA
Rfam family: Bacterial small subunit ribosomal RNA
Source: RNAcentral
UACGAAGGGCCCGAGCGUUAAUCGGAAUCACUGGGCUUAAAGCGUACGCAGGCGGAUGCGCAGGCAUCUUGUGAAAUACCUCCGCUCAACGGAGGAACUGCAGGGUGAACCGCGUGUCUUGAGUCAGGUAGGGGCUGUCGGAACGCUCGGUGGAGUGGUGAAAUGCGUUGAUAUCGAGCGGAACGCCGAAGGAGAAAUCAGGCAGCUGGGCCUGUACUGACGCUGAGGUACGAAAGCGUGGGGAGCGAACGGGAUUAGAUACCCUCGUA